This 29-nucleotide non-coding RNA is filed under the name Mus musculus (house mouse). The record is from RNAcentral. Lineage: Eukaryota; Metazoa; Chordata; Mammalia; Rodentia; Muridae.
UGCUUAUUUCUCCUUCUGAAUGGAACUGA